Molecule: ribosomal RNA, 449 nt
Filed under: uncultured bacterium
Lineage: Bacteria
Description: partial 16S ribosomal RNA
Rfam family: Bacterial small subunit ribosomal RNA
Source: RNAcentral
AACGAACGCUGGCGGCAGGCUUAACACAUGCAAGUCGAGCGAGACCUUCGGGUCUAGCGGCGGACGGGUGAGUAACGCGUGGGAACGUGCCCUUCUCUACGGAAUAGCCCCGGGAAACUGGGAGUAAUACCGUAUACGCCCUUUGGGGGAAAGAUUUAUCGGAGAUGGAUCGGCCCGCGUUGGAUUGGGUAGUUGGUGGGGUAAUGGCCCACCAAGCCGACGAUCCAUAGCUGGUGUGAGAGGAGGAUCAGCCACACUGGGACUGAGACACGGCCCAGACUCCUACGGGAGGCAGCAGUGGGGAAUCUUAGACAAUGGGGGCAACCCUGAUCUAGCCAUGCCGCGUGAGUGAUGAAGGCCUUAGGGUUGUAAAGCUCUUUCAGCUGGGAAGAUAAUGACGGUACCAGCAGAAGAAGCCCCGGCUAACUCCGUGCCAGCCGCCGCCGUAA